Molecule: long non-coding RNA, 718 nt
Organism: Brachypodium distachyon (stiff brome)
Lineage: Eukaryota; Viridiplantae; Streptophyta; Magnoliopsida; Poales; Poaceae
Exons: 2
Source: RefSeq, a predicted model, not a curated record
GGGAAUUGUCCCUUCAAAAGAGGUGGGGGCUCAUCCAAGCCGAAUGCAACAAGUUCGCUGGCACGCACGAUCACGUGAAGGCCAGGCGGCUGAGUGGCGUCGGCGUCCAGGACGUGAUACUCAAGGAGGCCCCGAAGUGGCCAGAGCUCUAUAUCUCCACCAAGAAGAGCCCCUCUAAUGGGAAGAAGCGUGACGACAUCACCAUCGACCUUGAGGCCUCCGGCCACACCGAGGCAGCAACCCGGGCCGUCCGGCCAAGGGGAAGGACCAACUCCAAGGGCGAGGCCAAGCGCGAGGCCUCCAACCUCACCUUCGAAGAGACCCUUAAGAAGAUCUGGUUGGAGAAGGAGGCAUGAAGAGAGAAGUUGCAACAAAUGACGGAGGAGCAAAUGAAGGACUACGUCGAGGUGCAGAAGAGGAAGCUCGUCAUCCAUGAGGCCAAUGCUAGGACAACUGCCAAGGCAGCCGAGGCCGCUAUGCUCGUCGAGGAGACAAGGAUAAUGACGGCGGACUUGAGCCUCCUGGACCCACCGACGUGAGCUUGGUUCGAGGCCAGGAGGAAGAUGAUGCAAGAACGAGAUGCGCCCUCGCCCUCGCAGGAUGAAGAUGCGGCCUCGCCAUCUAGUUGAUCGCCAAUUCUGUCGCCCAAUUUGGUUGCAUUUUGUUGUAAUGAACUAUACUUAUGUCCGCCGGUGAGGCCUGAACAUUUAUUUGUUAA